CUAAUGGAACUGCAACCAAAGGGAAUCAAUAUAGAGUGCCAAGGCUCUCCCUAGACGGGCUCCGGUUGUAGUUGGUUUACAGGUUAACACAUUUAGUGGUAGCUUGUUUACAUGUAACCACAAUUUAGUUGUAGUUUUGUUCUUCUCCAGUUGAACAGGAACGUCUUCACCAGGAGGAGAAUGAGAGGAGGGAGGAGGAGAACAGAAGGGUGGAGGGGAUGGAGGAGGGCGAGAGGGAGGAAUAUCUACACAGGAGGCAGGAGGAAGAUGAGGAGAGGAGGCAGGCGGAGAAGGAGAGGAGGAGGAGGGAGGAGGAGGCUGCUCUUUCGGCCCUAGAGGAAGCCCGACGCAGUGGGGCGCUCUUUGCCAGACAGAGGGCGCUGUUGGAGCAGCAGCUGUCCUUUAAACGGGGUCUCCUGCUCGAGGCUGAGGGGCUGGAUACCGGACAGGAUGUCUCCAGACCUUGGGUCUACUCCUACUUGGCCCUCCUGGACCUCCUGGGACUCCCCAAGCCUGACCCAGCGGAGCCUGACCUUUAACCUCUCGGCUCUGUUUUGACACCAACCAGCUUCUAAUGAAACUAGAGACUGAACACUGCUGUUUUCAGUCUAUGUUCUCCAGUAGCUAGCCUUAAGUUUAGCAUGCUAGGUAGCAAGGCUCAGGGAGCAAGUAAACUGUGUAUGUAGACAUUAGCCUUUAGUUUAGCAUGCUAGUUAGCAGGCUAAGAGAGCAAAUAGACUGUGCAGUCAUUAGCCUUUAGUUUAGAAUGCUAGGUAGCAAGGCUCAGAGAGCAGAUCGACUGUGUAGACAUUAGCCUUUAGUUUAGCUUGCUAGGUAGCAAGGCUUAGAGAGCCGAUAGACUGCAGACAUUAGCCUUUAGUUUAGCAUGCUGGGUAGCAAGGCUCAGAGAGCAAUUAAACAGUGUUGACAUUAGCCUUUAGUUUUGCAUGCUAGGUAGCAGGCUAAGAGAGCAGAUAUAAUUUGAGGACAUUAGCCUUUAGUUUAGCAUUCUAUGUUGCAAGUCUCAGUGGGCAGAUAGACUGUAGACAUUAGCCUUUAGUUUUGAAUGCCAGGUAGCAAGGCUCAGAGAGCAGAUAGACUUUGCAGACAUUAGCCUUUAGUUGACCCUGCUAGAUAGCAAGGCUCAGAGAGCAGAUAGACUGUGUAGAGUUAAUGUGCCAUCCUAGUAAUGUCUAUAAUAUUUCCUGCUUCACAAAUAAAGUUAAUUGAAGAAAAUGAAA
This 1241-nucleotide long non-coding RNA is filed under the name Gadus morhua (Atlantic cod). Its description in RNAcentral is "lncRNA (ENSGMOG00000036368.1)". Lineage: Eukaryota; Metazoa; Chordata; Actinopteri; Gadiformes; Gadidae. The record is from RNAcentral.